Molecule: transfer RNA, 27 nt
Filed under: Ochotona curzoniae (black-lipped pika)
Lineage: Eukaryota; Metazoa; Chordata; Mammalia; Lagomorpha; Ochotonidae
Description: partial tRNA-Thr
Source: RNAcentral
UCCUUGUAGUAUAACAAUUACCUUGGU